Molecule: ribosomal RNA, 472 nt
Filed under: uncultured bacterium
Lineage: Bacteria
Description: bacterial SSU rRNA
Rfam family: Bacterial small subunit ribosomal RNA
Source: RNAcentral
CGCUAUCACUCCUACGGGAGCAGCAGUAGGGAAUCUUCCACAAUGGGCGCAAGCCUGAUGGAGCAACACCGCGUGAGUGAAGAAGGGUUUCGGCUCGUAAAGCUCUGUUGUUAAAGAAGAACACGUAUGAGAGUAACUGUUCAUACGUUGACGGUAUUUAACCAGAAAGUCACGGCUAACUACGUGCCAGCAGCCGCGGUAAUACGUAGGUGGCAAGCGUUAUCCGGAUUUAUUGGGCGUAAAGAGAGUGCAGGCGGUUUUCUAAGUCUGAUGUGAAAGCCUUCGGCUUAACCGGAGAAGUGCAUCGGAAACUGGAUAACUUGAGUGCAGAAGAGGGUAGUGGAACUCCAUGUGUAGCGGUGGAAUGCGUAGAUAUAUGGAAGAACACCAGUGGCGAAGGCGGCUACCUGGUCUGCAACUGACGCUGAGACUCGAAAGCAUGGGUAGCGAACAGGAUUAGAUACCCUGGUAG